Molecule: ribosomal RNA, 199 nt
Filed under: uncultured Ignavibacterium sp.
Lineage: Bacteria; Pseudomonadati; Ignavibacteriota; Ignavibacteria; Ignavibacteriales; Ignavibacteriaceae
Description: partial 16S ribosomal RNA
Rfam family: Bacterial small subunit ribosomal RNA
Source: RNAcentral
UACUCCUACGGGAGGCAGCAGUGAGGAAUAUUGGGCAAUGCCCGCAAGGGUGACCCAGCAACGCCGCGUGGAGGAUGAAAGCCGUAAGGUUGUAAACUCCUGUGAGAAGGGACGAAAGAUUAGGUUUCGUAAGGGAUCUAAGUUGACUGUACCUUCAGAGGAAGCCCCGGCUAACUACGUGCCAGCAGCCGCGGUAAUA